This 253-nucleotide ribosomal RNA is filed under the name uncultured bacterium. RNAcentral's name for it is "partial 16S ribosomal RNA". It matches the Rfam family "Bacterial small subunit ribosomal RNA", at positions 524 to 776 of the family's 1533-position model. The record is from RNAcentral.
UACGGAGGGGGCUAGCGUUGUUCGGAACUACUGGGCGUAAAGCGCACGUAGGCGGCGCAGCAAGUCAGGGGUGAAAUCCCGGGGCUCAACCCCGGAACUGCCUCUGAAACUGCAGUGCUAGAAUCUUGGAGAGGCGAGUGGAAUUCCGAGUGUAGAGGUGAAAUUCGUAGAUAUUCGGAAGAACACCAGUGGCGAAGGCGACUCGCUGGACAAGUAUUGACGCUGAGGUGCGAAAGCGUGGGGAGCAAACGGG